This 599-nucleotide ribosomal RNA is filed under the name uncultured bacterium. Its description in RNAcentral is "bacterial SSU rRNA". It matches the Rfam family "Bacterial small subunit ribosomal RNA", at positions 331 to 929 of the family's 1533-position model. The record is from RNAcentral.
CCAGACUCAUACGGGAGGCAGCAGUGAGGAAUAUUGGUCAAUGGGCGAGAGCCUGAACCAGCCAAGUAGCGUGCAGGAAGACGGCCCUAUGGGUUGUAAACUGCUUUUAUGCGGGGAUAAAGUGAGGGACGUGUCCUUCAUUGCAGGUACCGCAUGAAUAAGGACCGGCUAAUUCCGUGCCAGCAGCCGCGGUAAUACGGAAGGUCCGGGCGUUAUCCGGAUUUAUUGGGUUUAAAGGGAGCGUAGGCCGUGGAUUAAGCGUGUUGUGAAAUGCAGGUGCUCAACGUCUGCACUGCAGCGCGAACUGGUCCACUUGAGUGUGCGCAACGCAGGCGGAAUUCGUCGUGUAGCGGUGAAAUGCUUAGAUAUGACGAAGAACUCCGAUUGCGAAGGCAGCUUGCGGGAGCACAACUGACGCUGAAGCUCGAAAGUGCGGGUAUCGAACAGGAUUAGAUACCCUGGUAGUCCGCACGGUAAACGAUGGAUGCCCGUUGUCAGGCUGUUUCAGUCUGGUGACCAAGCGAAAGCAUUAAGCAUCCCACCUGGGGAGUACGCCGGCAACGGUGAAACUCAAAGGAAUUGACGGGGGCCCGCACAAG